Molecule: long non-coding RNA, 687 nt
Organism: Halichondria panicea
Lineage: Eukaryota; Metazoa; Porifera; Demospongiae; Suberitida; Halichondriidae
Exons: 3
Source: RefSeq, a predicted model, not a curated record
CUACAGGAGGGCUGUUGACUAUCACAAUGAAAGACUACAGGAAAGUGAGAUACGGCCGGUUUCCCUGCCACCCACCUACAGCUCCGGAGCCCCGGUUUAUAACCCACACGCUACAUGGGUGAACUGCAACAAGUCAAUAACGUAGGAGGAAGGGAAUCUUUUAGCCUCGAUCCCAGGCCGCACUGAAGAUGAGGCCUUGUAAACACCAAUAGGACACUAGAUCUAGCUAGCUAGGGCAUCUUGUGCAUCAUAUACUCUCUGAGCUGACAAUAUAACUUGGGUAUCAUCAAGUACAGUGCUAAGUGGAGGGAGUUGAAUAUACAGCAAUGAAAGGAACAGAGAAGAGGCCUACAGAUUCAAGGUGCUCUCUUCGGAAAGUAUCGUGUGUGUGGCCGACUGGUGUCAGUUCUCAGUGAGCACCCCCUCAAGUCUGGCCCCUCAAGUCUGGGGGUUAGGUUGUGAGGUUCAUGGCUUGCCUGCAUGCUGUGUUUGACUGGAGAGGAUCGAAGGAGCAGAAAGUGAACUAAAGAGAAGUCGCAGUUAACAAGAUAGCCAGCUGCUGGGAUGCCACGAGGGAACGAGAGAUCAGUUCUCUGAAGUCCAUAGUCUUGAACAUUUGAAACAAUCAACUAUUAGUCUUGUAACAGUUGUGUAUCACAUGCACCCUCUCUUGCUUUAAAUAAUUCA